UACGUAGGGACCAAGCGUUGUUCGGAUUUACUGGGCGUAAAGGGCGCGUAGGCGGCCUUCUAAGUCAGACGUGAAAUCCCCCGGCUUAACCUGGGAACUGCGUCUGAUACUGGGAGGCUUGAGUGCGGCAGAGGAGACUAGAAUUCCUGGUGUAGCAGUGAAAUGCGUAGAUAUCAGGAGGAAUACCGAUGGCGAAGGCAGGUCUCUGGGCUGACACUGACGCUCAUGCACGAAAGCGUGGGGAGCAAACAGG
RNAcentral lists this ribosomal RNA (253 nucleotides) under uncultured bacterium. RNAcentral's name for it is "partial 16S ribosomal RNA". It matches the Rfam family "Bacterial small subunit ribosomal RNA", at positions 524 to 776 of the family's 1533-position model. The record is from RNAcentral.